This 103-nucleotide ribosomal RNA is filed under the name Bursaphelenchus mucronatus. Its description in RNAcentral is "partial 28S ribosomal RNA". It matches the Rfam family "Eukaryotic large subunit ribosomal RNA", at positions 1 to 108 of the family's 3401-position model. The record is from RNAcentral. Lineage: Eukaryota; Metazoa; Nematoda; Chromadorea; Rhabditida; Aphelenchoididae.
AACCACCUGAGUUGGGUAUGACUACCUGCUGAACUUAAGCAUAUCAGUAAGCAGAGGAAAAGAAACAAACAUGGAUUCCCUUAGUACGCGCGAGGGUAAAAAU